Pseudophryne corroboree (corroboree frog) is the source of this 546-nucleotide long non-coding RNA. RefSeq lists it as uncharacterized. The record is from RefSeq and is a predicted model, not a curated record. NCBI's taxonomy places the organism in Eukaryota, Metazoa, Chordata, Amphibia, Anura, Myobatrachidae. The transcript has 3 exons.
GUCUGCUGUUUACAGGGGAAGCCCAUCGCUGAGACACACGCAAGCCGGGGCUGCGGCCUAGCAACCAGCAUAGCAACGGCGUGAGAAAAAGUUCCUCAAGAAGCCCCUUCGCAAUAAAAGGGGCAUUCUGGGACUUGUAGUACGAGCACAGCUGAAGAGUAAUAUGUUGGCUAGACCCUAUAUAUAAAAGAGGCUUUUAGGGCUCAUACGAGGAGCUUUAAUAUAAGAAAGUAUGAUAUUUGUCACAUGCGGAAUAAGAGGCCUUUUUAUCAAAUGUGCAGGACAUGAUAACUGGUGACAUGCUCCAACCAGGAGGAACAUGCUGAUUUGGUGCCACUCUGCACCUGACAGCGAAAGAUGAACACAUGCCAAUCUAAUGCUAGGUGUGGAACUAUAAUUACAGAUGAAUUUAUGUUAGUUUGAAUAUUCCCAGAUGCAUAAAUGAUUUUUGUUUGAAUGCGACAGUGAUCACUGUCACUGUAUAGGAUCCCCUGAAUCUGGUUUAUUCCACAACACGGAUUCAGUUCCCCCUGCUCCUAUCUAUUU